Betta splendens (Siamese fighting fish) is the source of this 743-nucleotide long non-coding RNA. RefSeq lists it as uncharacterized. Lineage: Eukaryota; Metazoa; Chordata; Actinopteri; Anabantiformes; Osphronemidae. The record is from RefSeq and is a predicted model, not a curated record. The transcript has 4 exons.
CGGACAUUCAACACGGCGUCUACAGUACGUAACUAACCGCUGGGACGAAAACGUUAUUGGAUUUGGCGAUAACUUAAAUUAAGGGCAGUUGAUCUAAUAUUAAUCGUACGAAUGGUCAAAACCGGUGAUUCCCUAUUUGCCUCAAUCAACGGGGGUCUUGGCAAUGUUAACGUCCCCCAGUGUUGGACUAGGACGCUAGCUUAAAAGCAACUAAACGUGUGGAGAUCUGUGAAGAAACGUACAUGUACAGUAGCCACGGUCUGGUCUUGGCCUUGACACUUACCUCCUCGAGAACAUCUGCAAGCUUGCUGAGAAUGUCUUCCUGCAAGUCGUGGAACGUUGGGACGCUGCAGAUAAAAAAGGGAUGUGGAAAGCUGCGAAGCUCACAGCCAGUUUUGGCAUGAAAACAUUUGAAGAGGCAUGCCAGUGAUCUGUAGUGAACAAGGAGAUGUCCGCAAUAUUCUGCUAUCAGAGUUGACAUGUAUACCGUGUAUAUACAGUAUGCUCAUACCAAUAUUUAGCAUGUAUUUCAUAGUAUGUCUAAUUGCACAGCAGGACAUCUGAAGUUGAAUUCAUCCAAAUGAGGCUCUAAUGUUUGUUCUGUUUGUUUUCUGGCUAUCUCAUUGAACAGUAUCUGCCUCUCAUCAAGCUGCUAAAUAAAACUGGCCCAAUGUUUAUCAAAAAGGAGUGAAAAUAAACCCUGUUGGUGAACAAAGGGCUUAUCUCUCCAAAGCAUCUCUCGC